UGGGGAAUAUUGGACAAUGCGGGCAACCGUGAUCCAGCAAUGCCGCGUGAGUGAAGAAGGCCUUAGGGUUGUAAAGCUCUUUUACCAGGGAUGAUAAUGACAGUACCUGGAGAAUAAGCCCCGGCUAACUCCGUGCCAGCAGCCGCGGUAAUACGGAGGGGGCUAGCGUUGUUCGGAAUUACUGGGCGUAAAGCGCGCGUAGGCGGCUUUUCAAGUCAGAGCUGAAAUCCCGGGGCUUAACCCCGGAACUGCCAUUGAAGCUGAAAGGCUAGAAUGUUGGAGAGGUGAGUGGAAUUUCGAGUGUAGAGGUGAAAUGCGUAGAUAUUCGGAGGAACACCAGUGGCGAAGGCGACUCACUGGACAAGCAUUGACGCUGAGGUGCGAAAGCGUGGGGAGCAAACAGGAUUAGAUACCCCUGUAGUCC
RNAcentral lists this ribosomal RNA (424 nucleotides) under uncultured prokaryote. Its description in RNAcentral is "bacterial SSU rRNA". It matches the Rfam family "Bacterial small subunit ribosomal RNA", at positions 355 to 796 of the family's 1533-position model. The record is from RNAcentral.